This 496-nucleotide ribosomal RNA is filed under the name uncultured bacterium. Its description in RNAcentral is "partial 16S ribosomal RNA". It matches the Rfam family "Bacterial small subunit ribosomal RNA", at positions 28 to 507 of the family's 1533-position model. The record is from RNAcentral.
GAUGAACGCUGGCGGCGUGCCUAAUACAUGCAAGUCGAGCGAACAGAUGAGGAGCUUGCUCCUCUGACGUUAGCGGCGGACGGGUGAGUAACACGUGGAUAACCUACCUAUAAGACUGGGAUAACUUCGGGAAACCGGAGCUAAUACCGGAUAAUAUAUUGAACCGCAUGGUUCAAUAGUGAAAGACGGUUUUGCUGUCACUUAUAGAUGGAUCCGCGCCGCAUUAGCUAGUUGGUAAGGUAACGGCUUACCAAGGCAACGAUGCGUAGCCGACCUGAGAGGGGGAUCGGCCACACGGGAACUGAGACACGGUCCAGACUCCUACGGGAGGAAGAAGUGGGGAAUCUUCCGCAAUGGGCGAAAGCCUGACGGAGAAACGCCGCGUGAGUGAUGAAGGUCUUGGGAUCGUAAACUCUGUUAUUAGGGAAGAACAAAUGUGUAAGUAACUAUGCACGUCUUGACGGUACCUAAUCAGAAAGCCACGGCUAACUACGUG